RNAcentral lists this ribosomal RNA (511 nucleotides) under Salmonella enterica subsp. enterica serovar Enteritidis. RNAcentral describes it as "bacterial SSU rRNA". It matches the Rfam family "Bacterial small subunit ribosomal RNA", at positions 122 to 639 of the family's 1533-position model. Lineage: Bacteria; Pseudomonadati; Pseudomonadota; Gammaproteobacteria; Enterobacterales; Enterobacteriaceae. The record is from RNAcentral.
UAAACUAAAGUGCUGCCUGCGGACUGGUGGCUAAUACCGCAUAACGUCGCAAGACCAAAGAGGGGGACCUUCGGGCCUCUUGCCAUCAGAUGUGCCCAGAUGGGAUUAGCUUGUUGGUGAGGUAACGGCUCACCAAGGCGACGAUCCCUAGCUGGUCUGAGAGGAUGACCAGCCACACUGGAACUGAGACACGGUCCAGACUCCUACGGGAGGCAGCAGUGGGGAAUAUUGCACAAUGGGCGCAAGCCUGAUGCAGCCAUGCCGCGUGUAUGAAGAAGGCCUUCGGGUUGUAAAGUACUUUCAGCGGGGAGGAAGGUGUUGUGGUUAAUAACCGCAGCAAUUGACGUUACCCGCAGAAGAAGCACCGGCUAACUCCGUGCCAGCAGCCGCGGUAAUACGGAGGGUGCAAGCGUUAAUCGGAAUUACUGGGCGUAAAGCGCACGCAGGCGGUCUGUCAAGUCGGAUGUGAAAUCCCCGGGCUCAACCUGGGAACUGCAUUCGAAACUGGAAA